UACGUAGGAUGCAAGCGUUGUCCGGAAUUAUUGGGCGUAAAGAGCGCGCAGGCGGUUCACCAAGUCAGAUGUGAAAUAGCCGGGCUUAACCCGGAGGGGUCAUUUGAAACUGGUGGACUAGAGUACAGCAGAGGAUAGCGGAAUUCCCGGUGUAGUGGUGAAAUGCGUAGAUAUCGGGAGGAACACCAGUGGCGAAGGCGGCUAUCUGGGCUGAAACUGACGCUGAGGCGCGAAGGCUAGGGGAGCAAACAGG
This 253-nucleotide ribosomal RNA is filed under the name uncultured bacterium. Its description in RNAcentral is "partial 16S ribosomal RNA". It matches the Rfam family "Bacterial small subunit ribosomal RNA", at positions 524 to 776 of the family's 1533-position model. The record is from RNAcentral.